GAGUUGUCAAGGACCCAUUACAAGGUGUCAAUCACAUAACUUUAAAAACUUGGUUAUUUAAAGUGUUGAAAACAAUGAGGAUACAAACAUCUGUUUUGCUGUUUACGGGUACAGUAGCUGCAUGCGCAGAUAAAAACUUAUCGAGUCGACAUUUAUUGAUUAAACUCAAGUGAUAACUAGUUCUAUUUUACCAAAUUAUAUCACAAAAAAAUAAAGAGUGUUUUUUUAAUUUCAAUUUCAAUUUGGUGUUGCAAUACUUUUUUCCAUGUGUAUACAUAAUAAUGGAUGCUACAAUAUCUCCCACGUAAAUCCACAUGUAUGGGAAUAGAUUUGCAAACGCAAUGCCGAAUUUAUUGUUUUAAAAAUUACAAUUGAAAAAAGACUACAGAACUUUUUUUUUAUUCGGAUGCACAAAACAAAUAAAAUCCAUGCACAAAAUCUGCAAAAUCAAAAUAAAAUAAAAUUCCUCGAAAGUCCAGUAAUGCAUUUGGCACAUUUAGGUCAUUUCAAAACAUGACGUCAAACAAAUAAAAAUGCUUAAAAUUGAAGGUUUUUCUGUUACGUAAACCAUCGAAAUUUGUAUAAUAUUGCAUUAAAAUGAUUUUUGAGCUAGGUUUUGUUGUUUUAUUUGUUGAUAAUAAUGAUAAGGAUAGUUCAAGCACAAUAAUUAUGAUUUAACAUGUUAGAUAAAAUAAUUUCUCUAUUUCUUCGUCAAUUUAUCCCUUUCUGCACCUAUUGUGUAAAAAAAAUUAAUCAACGUGUGGUUCGUUUGAUCUCAGUUCUUCAUUGGUUAAAAUCCGAUUAUGACGUCGAAUUUUCUUGUUUUCCUCUGAAUUUCCUACUGUGACGGCAUGAAAAAAGGCGACCAUGCCUGAUGACGUCGCAUAGAAAGAACACAUCUUUUUUGCAGAUCAGUAGAAGAAGGAAUAUUGCCUGCGUAUGUUUGAAAUAUUAGAGAAACAGAUUCCACCACCAAAUCUCGUGUAAUACGAUAUUUAUCCACUCUCGACAGUUAAAUUUUAAAUACCUAAAACGCUCGGCGAGCCUCGCUUUUUAAAUUUGACAAUUUAACUGUUUCGAGUGGAUAAAUAUCGUAUUACACUCGAUGUAGUGGUAGAAUCUAUAUGUGAGUAUGUGUCCGCUACUGCCUAAUCAGGGUUACUAUUCGACCCGUUUCUCGCAAUUGACACAUUUAAGAAAACAUAAAUUGGUGAUACAAAUCUUUUUUGUGAAACAUAGAACUAAACAAAAUGGGACAUUUCCGUGUAAAACAACACUAUUUAUAUUUAUGAUGUAUAUAUAAAAUUGUAACUAUGACUGCAGAAAAAUUUAUCUUAAUGUCAAUGUGCAAGAUAUUCAUUUUUGUUGUCGAUAAAAUUGUUUCAUGAGAGGUGAUGACUUUCUUCUGUUUAAGUCUGUUGCGUAUAAAAGUAUCGAAAAGUAAUAUAGGAGAGAAGCGGUUAUCGUUUUAGCAUGUUUCCUUAAAUUUAUUCGGUAUUUUGUAUUAUUAUGUAUUGAUGCUUGUGUAACUGACCGACA
Molecule: long non-coding RNA, 1539 nt
Filed under: Mytilus galloprovincialis (Mediterranean mussel)
Lineage: Eukaryota; Metazoa; Mollusca; Bivalvia; Mytilida; Mytilidae
Source: RNAcentral